GGGCCGUUAGCUCAGUUGGCAGAGCACCGGACUUUUAAUCCGGGGGUCGCAGGUUCGAUCCCUGCACGGCCCACCA
RNAcentral lists this transfer RNA (76 nucleotides) under Armatimonadota bacterium. RNAcentral describes it as "Armatimonadetes bacterium (oil production facility metagenome) tRNA-Lys". It matches the Rfam family "tRNA". Rfam says of the family: Transfer RNA (tRNA) molecules are approximately 80 nucleotides in length. Lineage: Bacteria; Bacillati; Armatimonadota. The record is from RNAcentral.